This 372-nucleotide ribosomal RNA is filed under the name uncultured eukaryote. RNAcentral describes it as "SSU rRNA". It matches the Rfam family "Eukaryotic small subunit ribosomal RNA", at positions 587 to 972 of the family's 1831-position model. The record is from RNAcentral.
AGCUCCAAUAGUGUAUAUUAAAGUUGUUGCAGUUAAAACGCUCGUAGUUUAAAGUCUGCUUCUGGCAGGGGGUCGUCUUUAUGAGUAUGUACUGUCUGUUACUGGCAUCUAUCUGACUGCUUCAACGGGUAAUACCAUUGAAUUUUCAGAGCUGUUACUUUGAGAAAAUUAGAGUGUUUCAAGCAGGCAUGUUGCCUUGAAUACUCCAGCAUGGAAUAGCAAGUAAGGAUCCAAGUCCUUCUUGUUGGAUUAAGGACAUGGGUAAUGAUUAAGAGGAACAGUCGGGGGUAUUCGUACUUGGUAGUCAGAGGUGAAAUUCUUAGAUUUACCAAAGACGAACUACUGCGAAGGCAUCUACCAUGGAUGUUUUCA